Molecule: microRNA precursor, 74 nt
Filed under: Myotis brandtii (Brandt's bat)
Lineage: Eukaryota; Metazoa; Chordata; Mammalia; Chiroptera; Vespertilionidae
Description: mir-9193 microRNA precursor family
Rfam family: mir-9193 microRNA precursor family
Source: Rfam by way of RNAcentral
CACAGGGGUGGGGGGUCCCUCAGCCUGGAUUGUGGGAGGGCACAAGCCAGGCCGAGGGACUCCACUGGUGCAUG